Molecule: long non-coding RNA, 1705 nt
Filed under: Anser brachyrhynchus (Pink-footed goose)
Lineage: Eukaryota; Metazoa; Chordata; Aves; Anseriformes; Anatidae
Description: lncRNA (ENSABRG00000001614.1)
Source: RNAcentral
UUUGGUUAUAAACUAUUUUUUAGUGGAGUAAUAUGGGGUAUUUAAGGAAAAUAAUUUAAUAUCAAAAUCAAGUUUUAUCAGUCAGAAAGAUUAAAACUCCCAUUAUUGAUCAAGAUUUUUCUAUCAAUAAAGCCAUUUUUAACUCUCUAAACAAAUACAGAGUGUAUAAGCACAGUGUGUUGCAUCCUGAACUUUGCUAGAAAGUACCAAAGAAAAUGCUAUUCCUGUCUUACUGACAAAGCCGCUCAGGAUUGAUUAAGAAUUGUGCUUCAGUUAAGGAAUAUGCUAAAUGUGUGUUUGUUGUAUGAAUGAAUUCUGUUUAUUUUGAGGGAGUUUGUGACACUUUGAUCUUGUUUCCCAACUACAAUCUCCUUUAGGAAGACUGGGGCAGAAAUAUUUUCUACAAUUUGUCCUCCUAAUCUCAGCGUAGGUCUAUAGUGCAAUCUAAAUACCAGAUUGCAAUGAGCAGAGUCAGAUUAGAAUUAGCUAAAUUAGCUGGUACUUAGAGCAGUGCAGCCAUGGCAACAAGGAGGUUAGCGGACACUAGAUCCCUGAUCUUCGGUUUUGUGGCCUGCAUUGACUUAAAUGCUACCAUAGCAACAUUCCUGUCUGCAGCAAAGCUAGUUUAUUUAAAGCCAGCAUCAGUAUGUCUACAUAAACUGCCAGUAAGCCUUUGAAUUUCAUAGUAUACACACUCUUAAGGAUAGCGGAUGUCCAACAGCUGUGAGAACUCUGGAAAAACUGGAAGAACUGAUGCUACUACUGGCAGAAAAAAAAAAAAAAAAAAAGAAAUUUCCCUCACUGCAUUCAUUCUCUUCUACUCAAUUAGUAGGAAGAAUUCUACAGCAAUAAGGAAUAUGCAACGUGAGAAAAUUCUAGCAGAGGACAAUUCUACACAAAGAAUCUGGAUUAUUAGUAGUAGCAGCCAUGGUAUUAAAUAAGGUGACAUUGCCUCAAUAUCCAUCAUUAGUGAUUCAGACACAGGAAGAAAUGACAGAAUUAAAAUGUAUGAAUGUAUGAAUAUGUCAUGUGAUCUAAAUACACACCGAGAGAGAGAAAGAGUGCAUAGCAGAUUCGAAUCAAGUUGCUUUUAAAAAUUUGGUUGAAGUUAAGUGCAACAGAAUAUUUCAGUAUUUUUAUUUUUUUUUUUAAGAGAAGAGCACCCUCAAUUUUGAAGGAUUUGGUUGGUCAUCCUUUCUUCAUCGUUAUGGGUUUUUCACAAUCUGUGAGUUAAUUCAUUCUCAGGUUUCUAACUCCCACACUAAGUGAUACACCUUCAUAAUGAAGAUAUCAUCAGAAAUCGCUUCUUGGGUAUGAGAUGACUGAAAAGGAGAGCAGACUUUGUUGGGCCAUAGGGUUUGUUUCUAAAGAAGGUUCUGAAAGAAUCUCCAGAGGUUUGUGGAGCUGUAUGAGGAGUGGAUGAGGAGCACAGACUCCUAUUUAGUGGAAAAGGAGUGGCCUGAUACUGAAUGGUUUGCUUUGUCCAUGGACUAAUUGGCAGAGAACAUAGGCUCCUAAAGCAGACUUCUGUUGGAAGAACCUUGGUGACAGAACAUGCUGGGGAAAUAGAGACAGAGUUACUGAAAUCAUGAAUUCCAUGAAUUCAUGCCAAGUAUGUGUGCAUUGGUCUGCUUGGUCUGUAUAAAUUACCAUCUAAAUCGGUGUUGUAAAUAAAGUCCUGCACUGGUGUGGAUUUCUUUCUAUU